AAUGAGAUACAAUACGCUCAUGCGUAAACAAUGCUCACAUAGUAUUAUUACAUAACAAUAGAGUAGAAUUUCUUAAUGAACUUGUGCCUUUUCGAACUAGCAUCAUUCAUAAAACUGAAACUCCGUGUAGGCUAACGGAGUUAUUUAAGGAUUAGUGGUUGAAUGAGGAUCUGGAAUGCUAGGAAAAGAUGGUUUUGGCAGCUCUGGGAUAUCUGGAAACUCUGGCUUUGGGAAGCCUGGAAUCUCUGGCUUUGGCAAAGUUGGGAGUUCGGGCAAUGGUGGGAACUCAGGCUUAGGAAUCUCUGGCUGCGGGCUGCCUCGAGAAGAUGGUGUGAGACUGCUACUUUUUUGUAGUCAUCCAUUGAUGAAAGAGCGAUAACUGCCAUCAUUAAGAAAACUGUCAGACGAGCCAUUAUGUGAAAAGAUUACAAGAAGAUGUUAGCAGUAAAAUUUAAGCUUGAUUGAUAGUGUCAGUCUUUAAUAUUAUGAGUAUUUAUAAUGAAGUGAGGUUAGAAACAGCAAGGAUUACAAGGUUUGGUUGGUAGGAAGGGUUUUGAGUAGUUCAACUUCUCAUCCAUUUCUUUUCUGAGAUAUGAAAUUUUCGUAAAGUUCGUAGUCAAUGAUGUUCAUAUACCUGAUAGGUCACUUGGCAGUCACAAGUUUAUUACAUUCGUACUGGUUUAUGCUACGUCAAUCUUUUAGUCAUGACUCGUGUGAUGAGUAGAUACCUCACUACACGAAUGGUGAGCCCUUCUUUCUUUUCUUUUGAAGUAGGUCUAGCUCCUCCUAAAUCUAUUUUUCUUUUGCUACUAAUAAGUGGGCUGGCUAAUUUGGUCAAUUUAUCCAAAAGAAAAUUGUUUGAG
This 863-nucleotide long non-coding RNA is filed under the name Olea europaea subsp. europaea. The record is from RNAcentral. Lineage: Eukaryota; Viridiplantae; Streptophyta; Magnoliopsida; Lamiales; Oleaceae.